Molecule: ribosomal RNA, 400 nt
Filed under: uncultured bacterium
Lineage: Bacteria
Description: bacterial SSU rRNA
Rfam family: Bacterial small subunit ribosomal RNA
Source: RNAcentral
GGGGAAUAUUGGACAAUGGGCGAAAGCCUGAUCCAGCCAUGCCGCGUGAGUGAUGAAGGCCCUAGGGUUGUAAAGCUCUUUCAACGGUGAAGAUAAUGACGGUAACCGUAGAAGAAGCCCCGGCUAACUUCGUGCCAGCAGCCGCGGUAAUACGAAGGGGGCUAGCGUUGUUCGGAAUUACUGGGCGUAAAGCGCACGUAGGCGGAUCGGUCAGUUAGGGGUGAAAUCCCGGGGCUCAACCCCGGAACUGCCUUUAAUACUGCUGGUCUAGAGUUCGAGAGAGGUGAGUGGAAUUCCGAGUGUAGAGGUGAAAUUCGUAGAUAUUCGGAGGAACACCAGUGGCGAAGGCGGCUCACUGGCUCGAGACUGACGCUGAGGUGCGAAAGCGUGGGGAGCAAAC